CACCGGAGCAGCGGAGACGCUGCUGCCAUGUAAACCCUACCCGAUGCAACGUCUAUUGGUGCUUCAUAUCUUAACGCUUGCUCGGCGGAUAUGAAGUAAUGAUGGCUUGAGCCUGUCGGCGACGGCAGGCGUAGAUAAAUUGCUGCACACGACAGAACCCGGCUUAUCGGUCUGGUCAUAAU
Molecule: RNase P RNA, 182 nt
Filed under: Ruminococcus sp.
Lineage: Bacteria; Bacillati; Bacillota; Clostridia; Eubacteriales; Oscillospiraceae
Description: partial RNase P RNA component class A
Rfam family: Bacterial RNase P class A
About the family: Ribonuclease P (RNase P) is a ubiquitous endoribonuclease, found in archaea, bacteria and eukarya as well as chloroplasts and mitochondria.
Source: RNAcentral